GCCGCGGCGUCUCCUCACAUCUGAGUCAGUCUUUCGUCGAACCGUGUCACAGUUGGUGCAGCUGGCCCUCCAGCCGGCUCUUCCUUUGUCUACCUCUCAUUCUCUAUUGAUCCAACUUUUCUUUGUAAACUUAACUUCUUACCUUCGCUCAAUCAUUUCUCCACCAACGUCGAACAACAUUUUCAACUUUCCAACAGUCUCGAACAGCAAUCUCACGCGAAAAGAGCCCACCGCUUCGAAUAUACGAGUAGAAAUUUGAUUUCAACUUACCCAAAUCGGUUUUCCAACUUCAAUUUGAGCGGCGAAAAAUCUCAAACGUCUGUGUUUUACAGGUUCGCUCGACUUCAACGCUUCCGACUCUUGAUUGGAUCACAUGGGAUGGGAGGAAGAUAACUUGGACCAGAUCUAUCAUAUUCGACAUCGAAGUAUGACACGCUGCACCUCCAAUGUGAUGAAUGACGCUUCAAGUACACUACUCACUUCCACUUUUAGAUUGCUGGAAUUGUUGAAUCUUCACAAACAAAAUAUCAUUGUAACUGAAAUUUUGCCAAGCUGUUCCGAACAAGGAAAUUGACAUUUCGAUACAAAUGGAACAAUUGGGAUGUCCAGUCGAUGAAUAUUGCUGAUCAUACAUUACUCUAUAACUG
This 647-nucleotide long non-coding RNA is filed under the name Nilaparvata lugens (brown planthopper). RNAcentral describes it as "uncharacterized LOC120354907, transcript variant X4". The record is from RNAcentral. Lineage: Eukaryota; Metazoa; Arthropoda; Insecta; Hemiptera; Delphacidae.